UACAGAGGGUGCAAGCGUUAAUCGGAAUUACUGGGCGUAAAGAGCACGUAGGUGGAUACCUAAGUCGAAUGUGAAAUCCCUGGGCUUAACCUAGGAACUGCAUACGAUACUGGGUGUCUAGAGUAUAGUAGAGGGAAGUGGAAUUUCCGGAGUAGCGGUGAAAUGCGUAGAUAUCGGAAGGAACACCAGUGGCGAAGGCGGCUUCCUGGAUUAAUACUGACACUGAGGUGCGAAAGCAUGGGGAGCAAACAGG
RNAcentral lists this ribosomal RNA (253 nucleotides) under uncultured prokaryote. RNAcentral describes it as "partial 16S ribosomal RNA". It matches the Rfam family "Bacterial small subunit ribosomal RNA", at positions 524 to 776 of the family's 1533-position model. The record is from RNAcentral.